This 343-nucleotide small RNA is filed under the name Pan troglodytes (chimpanzee). RNAcentral's name for it is "retained intron". Lineage: Eukaryota; Metazoa; Chordata; Mammalia; Primates; Hominidae. The record is from RNAcentral.
UUUGGGGUCUCACGCCUUCCCCCCGCCCUAUUCCCCCAGUGAGCAGCGGUUCCAUUGCAGUGAACGCCGACUCUUCGGUGCAGUUGUUGGCCGAAGAGGCCGUGACGCUGGACAUGUUGGACCUGGGGGCAGCCAAGGCGAACUUGGAGAAGGCCCAGGCGGAGCUGGUGGGGACAGCGGACGAGGCCACGCGGGCAGAGAUCCAGAUCCGAAUCGAGGCCAACGAGGCCCUGGUGAAGGCCCUGGAGUAGGCGAGCCAGCCGCCAAGGUUGACCUCAGCUUCGGAGCCACCUCUGGAUGAACUGCCCUCAGCCCCCGCACCAUUAAAGACCCGGAAGCCUGA